This 497-nucleotide ribosomal RNA is filed under the name uncultured bacterium. RNAcentral's name for it is "partial 16S ribosomal RNA". It matches the Rfam family "Bacterial small subunit ribosomal RNA", at positions 899 to 1397 of the family's 1533-position model. The record is from RNAcentral.
ACUCAAAGGAAUUGACGGGGGCCCGCACAAGCAGCGGAGCAUGUGGUUUAAUUCGACGCAACGCGAAGAACCUUACCUGGGCUUGACAUGUUCCUGACAGCCGUGGAAACACGGUCUCCCUUCGGGGCAGGAUCACAGGUGGUGCAUGGCUGUCGUCAGCUCGUGUCGUGAGAUGUUGGGUUAAGUCCCGCAACGAGCGCAACCCCCGUCGCAUGUUGCCAGCAUUUAGUUGGGGACUCAUGCGAGACCGCCGGUGACAAACCGGAGGAAGGUGGGGAUGACGUCAAGUCAUCAUGCCCCUUAUGUCCAGGGCUACACACGUGCUACAUUGGCGCGUACAGAGGGUUGCGAUACCGCGAGGUGGAGCGAAUCCCUUAAAGCGCGUCUCGGUUCGGAUUGCAGGCUGAAACCCGCCUGCAUGAAGGCGGAGUUGCUAGUAAUCGCGGAUCAGCACUGCCGCGGUGAAUACGUUCCCGGGCCUUGCACACACCGCCCGU